GAUGAACGCUGGCGGCGUGCCUAAUACAUGCAAGUCGAGCGAACGGACGAGAAGCUUGCUUCUCUGAUGUUAGCGGCUGACGGGUGAGUAACACGUGGAUAACCUACCUAUAAGACUGGGAUAACUUCGGGAAACCGGAGCUAAUACCGGAUAAUAUUUUGAACCGCAUGGUUCAAAAGUGAAAGACGGUCUUGCUGUCACUUAUAGAUGGAUCCGCGCUGCAUUAGCUAGUUGGUAAGGUAACGGCUUACCAAGGCAACGAUGCAUAGCCGACCUGAGAGGGUGAUCGGCCACACUGGAACUGAGACACGGUCCAGACUCCUACGGGAGGCAGCAGUAGGGAAUCUUCCGCAAUGGGCGAAAGCCUGACGGAGCAACGCCGCGUGAGUGAUGAAGGUCUUCGGAUCGUAAAACUCUGUUAUUAGGGAAGAACAUAUGUGUAAGUAACUGUGCACAUCUUGACGGCACCUAAUCAGAAAGCCACGGCUAACUACGUG
This 497-nucleotide ribosomal RNA is filed under the name uncultured bacterium. Its description in RNAcentral is "partial 16S ribosomal RNA". It matches the Rfam family "Bacterial small subunit ribosomal RNA", at positions 28 to 507 of the family's 1533-position model. The record is from RNAcentral.